RNAcentral lists this ribosomal RNA (486 nucleotides) under uncultured bacterium. RNAcentral's name for it is "partial 16S ribosomal RNA". It matches the Rfam family "Bacterial small subunit ribosomal RNA", at positions 28 to 507 of the family's 1533-position model. The record is from RNAcentral.
GACGAACGCUGGCGGCGUGCUUAACACAUGCAAGUCGAACGGGAUCCAAAGGCUUUUUGUUUUUGGUGAGAGUGGCGAACGGGUGAGUAACACGUGAGUAACCUGCCCCCUUCUUUUGGAUAACCGCAUGAAAGUGUGGCUAAUACAGGAUAUUCCAGGCUGGUCGCAUGAUUGGUUUGGGAAAUGGUUUGGUCUGGUGGGGGAUGGGCUCGCGGCCUAUCAGCUUGUUGGUGGGGUGAUGGCCUACCAAGGCGGUGACGGGUAGCCGGCCUGAGAGGGUGGGCGGUCACACUGGGACUGAGAUACGGCCCAGACUCCUACGGGAGGCAGCAGUGGGGGAUUUUGCACAAUGGGCGCAAGCCGGAUGCAGCGACGCCGCGUGAGGGAUGAAGGCCUUCGGGUUGUAAACCUCUUUCGCUGGGUUGAAAGGCCAUGCUUUGGGUGUGGUUGAUUUGAACUGGUAAAGAAGUACCGGCUAACUACGUG